Molecule: ribosomal RNA, 253 nt
Filed under: uncultured bacterium
Lineage: Bacteria
Description: partial 16S ribosomal RNA
Rfam family: Bacterial small subunit ribosomal RNA
Source: RNAcentral
GACGGAAGGUGCAAGCGUUGUCCGGAAUUAUUGGGCGUAAAGAGCUCGUAGGCGGUCUGUCGCGUCGGAUGUGAAAACCCAGGGCUCAACCCUGGGCCUGCAUUCGAUACGGGCAGACUAGAGUUCGGUAGGGGAGACUGGAAUUCCUGGUGUAGCGGUGAAAUGCGCAGAUAUCAGGAGGAAUACCCGUGGCGAAAGCGGCUCUCUGGGACGGUACUGACGCUGAGACGCGAAAGCGUGGGGAGCAAACAGG